RNAcentral lists this ribosomal RNA (170 nucleotides) under uncultured bacterium. Its description in RNAcentral is "partial 16S ribosomal RNA". It matches the Rfam family "Bacterial small subunit ribosomal RNA", at positions 355 to 517 of the family's 1533-position model. The record is from RNAcentral.
UGGGGAAUAUUGCGCAAUGGGCGAAAGCCUGACGCAGCGACGCCGCGUGAGGGAUGAAGGUCUUCGGAUCGUAAACCUCUGUCAGCAGGGAAGAACGGUCACUGUGCUAAUCAGCAGUGAAUUGACGGUACCUGCAAAGGAAGCACCGGCUAACUCCGUGCCAGCAGCCG